UGCUUUGAGCAGUAGCAGUAUCGUAGCCAAUGAGGUUUAUCUGAGGCACGAUUAUUGCUAAUUGAAAAAGAAAAUGUACUUCUUUCAGAAGAAAUUAUGAUCUUUCUCUGACCUUUAUUAUUCAUUUAA
Molecule: non-coding RNA, 129 nt
Organism: Heterocephalus glaber (naked mole-rat)
Lineage: Eukaryota; Metazoa; Chordata; Mammalia; Rodentia; Bathyergidae
Source: Rfam